This 468-nucleotide ribosomal RNA is filed under the name uncultured bacterium. RNAcentral describes it as "partial 16S ribosomal RNA". It matches the Rfam family "Bacterial small subunit ribosomal RNA", at positions 28 to 507 of the family's 1533-position model. The record is from RNAcentral.
GACGAACGCUGGCGGCGUGCUUAACACAUGCAAGUCGAACGGAAAGGCCCUGCUUUUGUGGGGUGCUCGAGUGGCGAACGGGUGAGUAACACGUGAGUAACCUGCCCUUGACUUUGGGAUAACUUCAGGAAACUGGGGCUAAUACCGGAUAGGAGCUCCUGCUGCAUGGUGGGGGUUGGAAAGUUUCGGCGGUUGGGGAUGGACUCGCGGCUUAUCAGCUUGUUGGUGGGGUAGUGGCUUACCAAGGCUUUGACGGGUAGCCGGCCUGAGAGGGUGACCGGCCACAUGGAGACUGAGAUACGGCCCAGACUCCUACGGGAGGCAGCAGUGGGGAAUAGUGCACAAUGGGCGGAAGCCUGAUGCAGCAACGCCGCGUGCGGGAUGACGGCCUUCGGGUUGUAAACCGCUUUCGCCUGUGACGAAGCGUGAGUGACGGUAAUGGGUAAAGAAGCACCGGCUAACUACGUG